UACGAAGGGGCUAGCGUUGUUCGGAAUCACUGGGCGUAAAGCGCACGUAGGCGGAUUGUUAAGUCGGGGGUGAAAUCCUGAGGCUCAACCUCAGAACUGCCUUCGAUACUGGCAAUCUCGAGUCCGGAAGAGGUUGGUGGAACAGCUAGUGUAGAGGUGAAAUUCGUAGAUAUUAGCUAGAACACCAGUGGCGAACGGCGGAGCCACUCGUCCGGUAGUAGCAACGGCCGUGAG
Molecule: ribosomal RNA, 234 nt
Filed under: uncultured bacterium
Lineage: Bacteria
Description: partial 16S ribosomal RNA
Rfam family: Bacterial small subunit ribosomal RNA
Source: RNAcentral